ACUGCUGGGAAACAGGCAGUGAGUGGAAGCAGCAGCAGCUCUGGAGAGUAAGUGGGUCUUAUGUAAAGUGCCAUUUGCCACAUAUUGUUAUUUCCAAAGGAUUUCAGAAUACCCUCGAACUCGAAAAACAGAAAAAUAGGAAACUUUCCAAAGGAAAACAACAACAACAACAACAACAACAACAACAACAGACACCCAGUGAGUCUUAAGUGCCUCUGAGAAGGUAGAGUUGAAGAGGGAGCAAACAAAAUUAAGAGAUCAACCCUGCAAUCCAGAAACUCAGCUGAUGGCCAGUGUUACAUAGAGCCAAGAUUUAAGUGCCACUUUGCUGCUCUUCCAGUAAACAAGACAGAUAACCAACUCAUGAGUUGCUCCAUUUUGCAUUUCUACCAGCAAUGUGACUACUCUCCCCUACCUUCAUCAACACAAGCCAUGCAGCCACCGCAGCAGGUGAUGCCUGGAUUCUGCUGCAUCCAGGCUGCAGAUGCCUGAUACCUGACACCCUCGGAACUGACGUCUGCACUGAGAGCACAUCUCCCAACUGCAGAGCCCAGGUGAUGGUGCUGCUGCCAGCAGAAGUGCUGAUGGGCCAAGCUCCUACAAAGCUUUCUUGGUCUUCUGGAGCCUUCAGUGUGUUGAAGCCACACCAAAGCAGAAGGCGCUUUCUCAUUAGUGGAAUAGUAUGUUAAUUGGACACCAAAGCUAUGCCAUAAAAUCAUCAACACUGUAUAAUUGUUGCUAUUGAAAUGCUUAUGGUUCAUUAUUAAACAUGCUCUUAUUAAAAA
Molecule: long non-coding RNA, 785 nt
Organism: Homo sapiens (human)
Lineage: Eukaryota; Metazoa; Chordata; Mammalia; Primates; Hominidae
Source: Ensembl